GAAUAUGAAUAGGGAUAUGGGUAUCCCAUGAAAGAAAAACAGAGAAAAAAGCUACCCCAAUAUCCAGAAGCAAGUUGAACUGCCAAGGCGCACGACCUGAAGAGGAACAGAAACUGUCGACGACGUGAGAGGUGGAUAUGGCUUCACCACCAUUCACCCUUAUCUCUAUUUACCGUUUCCUUUUUGAAAGUGAAUCCAGGUAGUGUCAUUGGGUGAUUUUGGGCUUCCGUUUUCUAUUGUUUUGGAUUUAAUAUCAGAAAUUUCUGAAUAACGUGAAAGUUGGUGUCUGCUAAUAUUGGAUCCAGAGUAGGUACUAUUUGAGAAUGAGAUUGAAACUGUAAGAUCACACAUACUUGGAAGCAAAGGCCAAAGGCGCAGGAAGUGGGAUACUGGUGGAUUGCAACAAGUGACUUUCAAACUUCAGUUUGCAGAGUCCACUCUUUUUGUUGAGGUACAUGAUGAACAUAUAAAUGUGGCCUACAGUCCAAGAUCUGGCAUGAGGCCUUCAAAAGAUACUGAAAUGCAGAAACAGAUCCACAAGAAACUUGGCUACAAUGCUACAUGCAUAGUUGAUCUCUUGAUGAAACAUAUGGCACUGAGCUGCAUAGUCUCCCUAACCAGUUGCAAACAGCAGGUAGCCUACCUGGGAGCUUUAAUUAUAUGGUGGGGGAAUGUUUAGAUGUGGAUUUUAAUCCAGAUUGGUGGUGGCAAAAUUACUUGGGCAAAUGUUAUAAAUGGUCCUCGUGGUUUGAGGUCAUGACUAUGUUUGCCCCUGUGGUUUAAAAAUAUUCAAUUUUGGUCCUUGGGUUUCAUUAAUCAACUAAUCUUGGUCCAACUAUAACAUUCCCUCUAACACCGUUAGUAAGGCUUUCAUGUGCGCGUCACAUGCUGGGGUAUUUUUAUCUUUUGCAUUUAAACCUCAGUUACCCACUCCUUGUUUACAACUCCACGUUUCAAUUGCAUCCCUUUCACGCUCCUCUCUUUCGCGCUGCUCUCAAGAACACCCUCAAGAACUGAAAAAAUGAAUUAGAAUCUGCUUCAAGGAUUUCAUUCCUCGAUCAUGGUGCAGGUAAAAAUAUAUCUUUCCCUUGAUUUAUAUAAGUACGAAGUGGUCAAAUAGAGUAUAACCACACAUUAGUUCCGUGUGGUCUUGUGCUUAUGAUGGUAAGUUAAGAUCAACUUAACUAGCUCAUAUAUAAACAGCUAGAAUAUGAUGAACUUAUCACAAUAUAUACAAAUUCUGUGGCAAUAUGAUUAUUUUGAGUAAAUAUACAGUACUUCCCAUUCUAUCUUUAAGUGAUACUUAAAAUCAUGUGAAGUUUUUCUUUUUUUGAAGGAGUUUCAAAGGUAAUUAGCAGAUUUUUGUUUGUGUAUUUAUGCUCCGUUUAAACAAAUAUGAGGCAAGGUCUAUUUCCAUAUAUUUUCUCAACUGCAGGUGUUCAAGUUGAGGCAACUGAGGGUGCAGCAAUUGGAGUGAAAUCAUUUUGCGUGAAUGGAUGAAGAUAGAUCAUUACGGUCGAGGAAACAACAGUAGAAGCGAUCAAAAUUAGGGAGAUACUUGAGCUACUAUUAUUUGUGAAAAAUUCUAUGUAGUUGUAACCCAUGAAUAAUUGGUGUGUGAAUGCUUGAGGUUCUUGGGAUGUUGUUGCUGUUAUAUAUCUUGUAAUAAUUAACUAGCAAGUGAUCAUUCUAGUCUCUUUGUUUUUGUGUCAA
This is a long non-coding RNA of Rosa rugosa (rugosa rose), 1713 nucleotides long. RefSeq lists it as uncharacterized. The transcript has 4 exons. The record is from RefSeq and is a predicted model, not a curated record. Lineage: Eukaryota; Viridiplantae; Streptophyta; Magnoliopsida; Rosales; Rosaceae.